CUUUAACCGUCUCAUUUGAAGCUGCCCAUCCCCACAUAGCUGAGCUCCCAGCAUGACUGGGGCAGUAAGACAACCCUGUUAGGACUAAAAAGCCAUUUCUGCAUCUCGAAGACACAGAUGCAACCCCAGUCUGGCAUUCAAGAGCGUAACUUUAUCAGUGGAGUCUUUACAUUUCUGAAUCAGACAUUAAAGGUGGUGGGACUCACACUGGCAUGGAAAUCCUGCUUCUAUGCUCCCGUGUGUAAAACCUUGGAUCAGAGGCUGUACUCAUUCAUUCAUUCAUUCAUUCACUCAUUCACUCCAUUUAGUGAACAAACUUUUUCUGACUACCAUCUGUGCCACAAGCACAAGGAAUGUUAGAGUUGAAAAACCAAGCCCUUGCCCUUCGGGAGUUUGAUGUUGAGAGGGGGAAAAUAGACACGAAACAGACAUUUCAAGGAGCAGCGCCACGUAGGGACUGUGUAAGGUGACGCAGAAGUGUAGAGAAGGAGCACCUGCUUCGUUCCCAGGGGUGAGGACAGGAAACACGUCCAGGAAGAGGUGGCCUUCAAGCUGAGCCUGGAGGGGUGGGUGGACAGGUGCAACGAUGGGGUUCCUGCAGGAGGACCGGCAAGAGUGAACGCAGGGAGGAUGGAGAUGCACGUCCUGCUGGAAGAACCACGGAGAGUGCAGUUCCAGAGAAGAGACUCUGCACAGCGAGGCCCAGAUGGUGUGGGGCCUGUGCGCCAGCAGAGGGGGUCCCACUGCAGCACGAUGGCAAGAAGGAGCUUUGGAAGGAUUUCAACCAGGGUUGUGACAAGGAGAGAGUAAGCCUCGGCAAAGGAAAGUCACUUGCCCAAGGACACCAAGUCAUUUUGGUCAGGGCCAGGUCCACCGCCGAGAUCCUCGCUGCUCAUCAUGGUGUCUCAGGAGCAGCAACAUCAGCAUCACCCGGGAGCUGGCUCCUCUGGGCUGUGAUGCUUUCUCAGACUCUCCUGGUGUUGGAUGACCUUGCCAGUUUUGAGCGGUCAGCUCUGGGACGUAGGGAGCGUUAUCCCUCCUUUGCAGGAAUGGAUCAGAAAGGAGAGGCGAUUUGCCAAGUGAGUGAAGGCUGGAGCCAGUAUCUGAGUCAUCAUCUGCCUGUUCCAAAGCCUUUGCCACCUAUACUGAGGUGUCAUAUUACAAACUGGGGCAAUCCCUCCAGGCUUUAAAUUUGAGGAAUUCAAGAGGUUCCAAAGAGAGAAGAACAGAGACAGAGAGCUGAGCGGAGUCACCCAGAGGGCAGAAGGAGCUGGAGCCAGAGCAGCAGGGACUCACCUGUGGAGGCUGGAGUUCCAAAUUACUGUUGGAUCAGACUCUCCAGUUCAUCAGCUCCUGACAUCCAGUGUUUAGCAGGGGAGGAACCCACAGAAUGAUGGAUAGCCACCAAUUAAUUUCCAUCCUGAUGGACGUGGAGCCAUCUACAACGCCAUUAAGAGGACUACGCUUGCCAAGGGAGAGGCAGGCAAACAGAGAUGAAUAUUUUUAUGAUCCAACUCUGAGUAAAUUCAUUUGAGGGCCUGUUUAGCUCCAGGUAGAGCUUUAAUGAACUACUCUGAAAGACCCAAGCACUCAUAAGACAAAGCAACGGACAUGCAUUGAGUUCCCAGUCCUACCGUCUAACCGAGAUAUGACUAUGGAUCUGCUACUUGAUCUUUCUGAGCUCCAUCUGUAAAACACAGAGAAAAACAAUACCAGCAUCACACAACAGGAGUCACCCUGGAGACAAAUGAAAGGAAACUGAAUGUGGAAUGGGGGGAGAGAAGGAUUUCUGUGGAGGAUCUGGGUAACUUCGGGAUCGUUCCGAGAGAUGAUCAUUUCACAGCAGGCUUAGCAGACAGUCUUCGGAUGGAAGCUCUCAAGAGCAAGCCCAGAAAGUUUCUGGAGGGUCAAAGCUAUGAUCUGGAGGGAAAUGGAAGUAUCUACUUAACGUCUGCAAUGUGCCAGGUAAACGCUCCUGCUUUGCUGUCAUUGCCGCAUUUAAUUCUUACAGCAGUACUGUCAGGUCAGCAUCAUUAUCCUUGUUUCAGGGAGGAGGAAACUGAAGCUCAGAGAGGUGCAGAAACUUACCCAAGUCACAUAGCUUCCAAGUGGUGGAGACUGGAUUCCCACUUGGCUCUAGCAGAGUCCUAAGUCCCUAUUACGUCCAGGUACUUUGAGGGAGUAGCAUGGAAUAAGAUUAAGACUUGGCCCUUCCUCUCCAAUUGCUCACAGUCAAACAAGGAUGAUCAGGAAUGCAUGGCAUUGACCAGAAGCCCAGGCAAAAUGCAAAUAGUAACAAAAUGCAAAUGGCAAGAACAGGUUUAAUUAAAGUCCUUUGAGAAUUCACAGAAGGAGCAUGGUACUUUCAGUUGGAGGGAGGCAAAUGGGGAUCAGAUUAAUGGAAGGGGUGACAUUUGAUGUGGUUCUUGAAAAGAGGGUGGGAUUUUCAAAGGCAUACUGGGAGAGAUGGAGGGCAUCCUGGGCAGAGGUAAGAGCCUGAAGAAAGAAGAAGAGGCAGGACACACAAGAGCCAUGAAGAAGAAUCGCUUUGUUUGGCUGGAACUUAGGGAUGUAUGAGUGGAAGACACAGAAAAUGAAGCUGGAAAUGAGCUCAGAGACAGAUAUCGAAGAGCCCUAAAUGCUUGGCUAAGGGUUUGAAUUUCUGUUGCUGAACAGAGGAAUGACACGCUCUGAGCAGCAGGGUAAGAAAAUCCCUCUAGCAGUACUUGAAGGCUGAAUUAAAGUGGGGGACAGCUUUUCCCGGUAGGAAGGUCAGGGAGUGCAACAGUGAUGGGGAGGAUAAGAGGAAGAGAGUACUGGAAGAUGAGAUAUGUCAGAGGCAGGGACCCGACCUGAGUUUCUAAGUGGAUGGUGGGCCGUCAAUUGCAAGAGGGAACCCAGGGAGAGGAGCCUGCUUGGGUGAAAGCACACUGAGAUCGGCUUUUGUCCAUUUGAGUUUGAGGAGCCUGUGAGGCACCCAGGUGGGGUGCCCAGGAGGCAGGUGGCUGUAUGUGUCAAUCACUGGAGGUGCUAGUCUAGCGUGUCUUAACACAUCCCAUCGCAGACCCAGUGGAGGCCUCGCAGACUAUCCAUUGCAGCCCCAUCAUCCCCACAUCAGCCCCGGCAACACUCCAGCUUCCAAUUCAUUGACCCCCUUAAUGUCGCUGACUUUCCAAGACCCACCCACAGGGCUACUCCCUGUGCUUCCUCAUCUCUGGGACCCUCCUCUUUCUGACAUCAUAACUCCUAGGAUUCCCUCUGUAGUCUAACCGUCCCACUUCUCAAACCCUCAGUUCCACAGAGGCCUCCUCAGCACACUUCCUCCCUCAACCUCUCCAUUUUCUCCCCUUCUUUGGGCUCCCUCGUGCCCGUUUUUCAUUCCUCCCCAGCUUUUACUCCAUGGGGGACUAUCUAAGCCAUUCUUUCUCCAACGUCCUGAUUCCCUUGCACCUCUAACCCUGCACUACAUGCAGCUGGCAAACCUCCAUCGCUCCAUCGAUGCAAAAUCCCACCUUCUUCUCUGCUCCUGUGCUAGAUUGCUGAGCAGGAGAAAAUCACGCAGCUGCACUGGUUAGGUCUGCUAAAAAUGCAUGGUCUUUUCUCAUCGAGCUACCCGUGUCGUUGUCAAAACUUUCUGCUUGUCCUUUUUCAGCUCUCUUUCCCAUUCCAUUUCCCCUCUCCUUGCUCCACAAAUUGUCCCCUCUUUUUCCUGCACCUUUAACCUCCUCUUCUCAACGGGCUUCUGGCUCAGAUCUCUUUCACUUCAG
Molecule: long non-coding RNA, 3767 nt
Organism: Equus caballus (horse)
Lineage: Eukaryota; Metazoa; Chordata; Mammalia; Perissodactyla; Equidae
Source: Ensembl